Small nuclear RNA from Suncus etruscus (white-toothed pygmy shrew), 106 nucleotides. Lineage: Eukaryota; Metazoa; Chordata; Mammalia; Eulipotyphla; Soricidae. The record is from RefSeq and is a predicted model, not a curated record.
AUGCUUACUUAGGCAGCACAUAAACUAAAAUUGUAAUGAUACAGUGAAGAUUAUCAUGACCCCUGCACAAAGGACACAAGGCAUUAGUGGAGCAAUGUGUAUUUUU